AGUGAACGCUGGCGGUAGGCCUAACACAUGCAAGUCGAACGGCAGCACAGUAAGAGCUUGCUCUUACGGGUGGCGAGUGGCGGACGGGUGAGGAAUACAUCGGAAUCUACUUUUUCGUGGGGGAUAACGUAGGGAAACUUACGCUAAUACCGCAUACGACCUACGGGUGAAAGCAGGGGAUCUUCGGACCUUGCGCGAUUGAAUGAGCCGAUGUCGGAUUAGCUAGUUGGCGGGGUAAAGGCCCACCAAGGCGACGAUCCGUAGCUGGUCUGAGAGGAUGAUCAGCCACACUGGAACCGAGACACGGUCCAGACUCCUACGGGAGGCAGCAGUGGGGAAUAUUGGACAAUGGGCGCAAGCCUGAUCCAGCCAUACCGCGUGGGUGAAGAAGGCCUUCGGGUUGUAAAGCCCUUUUGUUGGGAAAGAAAGGCAGCAGGUUAAUACCCCGCUGUUCUGACGGUACCCAAAGAAUAAGCACCGGCUAACUUCGUG
This 492-nucleotide ribosomal RNA is filed under the name uncultured bacterium. RNAcentral's name for it is "partial 16S ribosomal RNA". It matches the Rfam family "Bacterial small subunit ribosomal RNA", at positions 29 to 507 of the family's 1533-position model. The record is from RNAcentral.